Molecule: ribosomal RNA, 503 nt
Filed under: uncultured bacterium
Lineage: Bacteria
Description: partial 16S ribosomal RNA
Rfam family: Bacterial small subunit ribosomal RNA
Source: RNAcentral
GAUGAGCGCUAGCGGCAGGCCUAACACAUGCAAGUCGAGGGGUAGCAGGAUUAAGCUUGCUUAAUUGCUGACGACCGGCGCACGGGUGCGUAACGCGUAUGCAACCUACCUUAUACUGGGGUACAGCCCGGAGAAAUUCGGAUUAAUCCCCCAUAGUACUAAUGAAUCGCAUGGUUUAUUAGUUAAAGCAUUGCGGUAUAAGAUGGGCAUGCGUCCUAUUAGCUAGAUGGUGAGGUAACGGCUCACCAUGGCUACGAUAGGUAGGGGGCCUGAGAGGGUGGUCCCCCACACUGGCACUGAGACAUGGACCAGACUCCUACGGGAGGCAGCAGUGAGGAAUAUUGGUCAAUGGGCGCAAGCCUGAACCAGCCAUGCCGCGUGCAGGAAGAAUGCCCUAUGGGUUGUAAACUGCUUUUAUUUGGGAAUAAACCUCUUUACGUGUAGAGAGCUGAAGGUACCAAGUGAAUAAGCACCGGCUAACUCCGUGCCAGCAGCCGCAGUAA